RNAcentral lists this ribosomal RNA (253 nucleotides) under uncultured bacterium. RNAcentral's name for it is "partial 16S ribosomal RNA". It matches the Rfam family "Bacterial small subunit ribosomal RNA", at positions 524 to 776 of the family's 1533-position model. The record is from RNAcentral.
UACGUAGGGGGCGAGCGUUCCCCGAAUUUACUGGGCGUAAAGCGCACGUAGGCGGCUUCGUAAGUCUGGUGUGAAAUCUCACGGCUCAACCGGGAGGCUGCACCAGAUACUGCGGAGCUCGAGGACGGGAGAGGAGAUCGGAAUGCACGGUGUAGCGGUGAAAUGCAUUGAUAUCGGGAGGAACACCAGUGGCGAAGGCGGAUCUCUUGCCCGUUGCUGACGCUGAGGUGCGAAAGCUGGGGGAGCGAAAGGG